Molecule: long non-coding RNA, 288 nt
Organism: Solanum dulcamara
Lineage: Eukaryota; Viridiplantae; Streptophyta; Magnoliopsida; Solanales; Solanaceae
Exons: 3
Source: RefSeq, a predicted model, not a curated record
AUCGUUGAAGAUCAUUUCUUUUCGGCUAUUUGAUUUUGGUGGAAACGGAGAUUGAAGUUGGACAACCGUAAAAAGCCAAUAAGGUACCGAAGUUUGAUUUGCUGAUCCGCCGGUUUAGGACAUCUGCUGUGUUAUUGACAGUGCUCCCUUGUUCGGAGCUUGUAUUUUGGUACUAACUUUAUCUCUGUAUAUUUGGAUAUGUUGGUCAGGGGUAUGACGGGGCCCUGUCCCAUCUUGUGACUAUGCUAUCAUCUGUAGAGGUCUGUAGACAGAGUUAUGUUGUGGGUU